RNAcentral lists this long non-coding RNA (3899 nucleotides) under Anas platyrhynchos (mallard). Its description in RNAcentral is "lncRNA (ENSAPLG00020006249.1)". The record is from RNAcentral. Lineage: Eukaryota; Metazoa; Chordata; Aves; Anseriformes; Anatidae.
GCGUAAGACUGCACUGCUCCUCCCUCGCUUACCAUGAGCCUGCCUCAGUUGCUUAUGAAAUCUUGCCUGAAAUCUUGCCUGAAUCUCCUCAGACGCCACGAUGGCACGGCUGAUAAGGAGCUCGAGGGAAUUGCACCAUGCGGUCAACAAAAUCCUCCCACUCCUCCUCUGAAGCUUCCAGAAAGUCUCCUCCCUCCCUGGGCCAUUUCUGCAGUUCAAGACGAGCCCGAGGAGGCAAUGGCCUUGAAGGAGCCAGCUGCUUGCAGUGACCUGCUGCACACAGGGCAGAAAAGGGACACUGGCAGGGCUGGAGGACUGCGCUCAGGGCAGCAAGGGGCAGGCACUCAUCUUUUCCCACCCAACGGUGUGAAUACUCUGGUAUUUCAGUAGCAGUACAUAGUCAAGCUGCAAAGAAAUGCACUCUUGAAAGCUCCUGGCAGCAGAGUGAUGCAGUCAAGGAGUCUGGAAAAUGCAGUUCCCUCCCUCCUCUCUGUCCCGAAGCAGACGCAGAUAAUGCCAUACCUCCAGAAAAUGACCUGGCCUUGGGAUGCCAUGGUCGCCGCACCUACGAAGACAAAACAAACUCCAGGUGCCUGAAGGACCCACGCAGUGUUCAGCACAGCUCCUGCCCUUUGCAUGAUGCAUUUUCCAGGCUGUCCUGCUUAAAUAACUGAACUCAGCUAAGGGGUGGUGAGUGCAAGCAGUGAACUCUCAGGAAUGAGGAAGCAUGGAGCAUCUCAGCUCCCCCCGCCAUGCCUUUGACUGGUUAAAGUCACUGGGGAACAGGGGAGACCUCCUACGCCACCCAUUAAGGAAACAUUUAAUUUGAUUUAAAAUAAAAUAUAACACAGUCCAUGGUCUGGUAGCUGGAUGAUCCUGAGGUCAGAGUGCAGCAGUCUCCCACGCAGAUCCGCAGCUGACCCAUCACUGGUGGGGUGCAGACAGGUCCCACCUGUGGGUCCCCUUCCUGGCCCCAUUUGCAACAUGCAGCUUCUCCUGCCGCUCUGCUCUGUGCUAAGAGGUUCCUCUGAGCUCAGAAGAACCACACCGGUGUGGCAAUGGCCCCUUUUCUGACUGAUAUUUUCUUCUGCUGAACUCCUCCAGACCAGCCUAUUUCUCUUCCCUCAGUGUCUGGUCUCACUUGAGGCUGGGAUUAGGCUGAGUAACUCUUGGGGAUAAGAGGCUGAGAAGGGCAGAGAGACUGUGAAGAGAAGAGAAGGGAAGGCAGCUUUCACCACUGUUUGGUUUCCCGAAAGGGAACCUGCAUAUUUUAUCAUCUAUGUGUGGACUGCUUUCCAGGAAAGAUGGUAAAAGGGGAAUUUUUGAUAGUCCUUUGACAUCUCCAGUGAGUUUCGGUGGUUGGUGGGAGCUAGCAAAAAUGAUGAUGCCUGGAGGAACUGGGAACAGUCAAGCCCUAUACCCAGUCUAACCAAAAACAACAACAAAACAAUCACCACCAACACCAAAAAAAAACAUUAGAUGUUCAGAUAAAGAUGCAGCAUAAUAUUAAUGCUCAUCAGUAACCAAACUAGCUGCAAAGUCUACUCCUAAUGCUCCAAGACGGGCUGCUACUGAAAGCUCGUCCUUCAUCGUGCAGCCUCUGAAUGGAACUGAGGAAAGGACAUCUCAGAAUCACUUAUGCCCCGUGAUGUUUGCGAUAAUUUAAACUUAAAAUGCAGACUUUAUACAGUUUUCACUUCCUCUCUGCUUUGGCAAGGAAUAACACUUUUUAGUCUGAUUCAUUUUGUAGCAUUUUGCUGAUCACCAAACUUGUCGCAGAUUAGCAAGGCAUUACUAGAAGAUAAGAAUAGCUCUAGGCCAUCCCAUCUGGUGGAAAAUAAACUUGAAGAAACAUCCUCUUGCCCUCGGUGACACCUGAUUUACAGCUGCCCUUGGUGCACUGCGUGAACCAGGCGUCCCCUUUCAGCACUGGUUAACUCUGGGGCGACGAUCAGGUUACUGCCACUUCGGAAAAACAGGUCUGGCUCGGGCACAGGCAGCGCUGGGGGGACCAGGGCAGGUCCCAUUCACCCGGGGUAACAUCACGUUAAUUACAGAGUAGUUCUCAGGCUGGAGACUACCCCUCUCCAUAUGUUUGUAAGGUAAAAAAUGAGCUAUUAAGGAUACCUGACAUAAAAAAAAAAAAGAGGAUCUGUGGUAACAGAAUCCUUUCAGCUCUUACCACUUCUGGAUUUAUUAGCGAUAUCCCACCAGACGUGAUGGCAGGAGCUGGUCCCACAUGGUCUGAAAGCUGGUGAGCGUCUGGAGAAGAGACAUUGGCUUCCUUGGCUGAGGCUGCAGAAGGCCCAAAGGGUUACUGGUUUUGCUGGGCCCCAGGGCUGGCCACAUCACACGCUGCCUCUUGCCCGCAUGAGGGAACGGUGUGGGCAGGAAGGGCUGAAAGUGGGUCAGGAAGAAAAAAAAUAAUAAUAAUAAAGGAGGGGGGAAGGGCAAGAAGACAUUCAGUGGUCUGCAGGAGGCAUGGGCACAAGAACCAGACAUGCCCUUCGUGGUACAACUCCAGAAGUAAUAAUUGUUCCAGGAGAGUUCCCUCACAGCACGUUCAUGCCUUAUUUCAACGUCACUGGAAAGCUGGGGAAGGUAUCUGUGAAGGAGAAGAACCAGGAGAAGAUGCAGUUUCAGCCGGCUGACAAGCAGCAGAACUUGAUGAAACGUUCAAGAGAGGUGAAGGCGGUCAGCAGGCUGAAAAAGAUGAAAGCUAUCCUUGGGAUUUGGCCCAAAACGUUGGAGACCAUUCUAGCCUCGUGUCCCGCACCACUAACAAUGGUGUCAAGAGGUGCUUGAGGGGCACUGCAGAUGGAUGCACCGGUGGACCCAGCCUGGAGGCUGGAAGGAGAGCCUGGCACUGCCUCAUCAGCUCUGCCUGUGCCUGGCCUCACCUCAGCUUGAAGGGAAGGUGGAAGAGGCAGCAGCCAGAGCAAGUCCUCACCUCAAAACAGGGAGGUGGUGAGCUGCCCUGGGCUGGAAGUGGGUGAGAAUCACCACAGUAGGAUCCGCUACCCUCCCAUGUUUUCCCUGCCUGGAGACUAAGUCAUCCUCCUGCCUCUGAAAGCUUCUCCUCACCUUCAUCACUUCCUUUCUUUCCUUCUUUUUUUUUUUUUUUUGUCUGCAGUUCCCUGAAGGUUUUGUGUUCACUGGUGUAAUUCUCACAAUCAGCUUCUUGGAAAAUAUCAGCGCCAGGGUGUGUAAGAGAUGCAUAACAUGAAAACACGUUCUUCAGCUCCACGCUCCUCUGUGUUGGAGAGGACAGUGAUAUUUUAGACAGAACUUUUGUGCCGAGAAGGCAGUGCCGUGCUUAUGCCUUCCCUCUGUAACACAGCUGGGAAGUUCCAAUUAAAACCGACACACAUGGAGGGGUGGGAGGGCAAGAAAUAGAAAGGCACAGAAAAAAACGCCACAUUUCUUCUUACAACAUCUUCCGUUUCUGAGCACAUAGCGAGGACAAGAAUGGGUUACGGUUUGUUCCAUUAAAGAUUGCCUCAAAUUAAACUUUCACUUUGAAAUUUCAGAGUCAGCAGCUCGGAGGCUUAAAUUGCCUAAGUUGGAGACUUAAACUGCCUAACCUUGCCCUGUCUGACAGCCCUUUCUGGAUGAUUAAUGGACAGCUAUAACCAGCAUUUGCAUAAGGCUAUCUGUCUCCUGUGCUGGGAGGAAGAGGUUCCCAAACUGGCUUUGUAGGAGGGAAGAACAACACAUCAGUCUUUUAGGCCUGAGCAAGCAAACAGACAGCACAGAUUUCUACUUUAACAACCCGGCUAUUAUCCUUCAGAAAGCCAGAACCAGCCCCCGCUGUUGACACUAGAGCAGCAUUCCUCUCCCCAGUGACCAACAGUCAGACCUUUGUCCCCAGCCCGGCUCCCCAGGCAGUGCUACGAGAC